Long non-coding RNA from Tribolium castaneum (red flour beetle), 539 nucleotides. RefSeq lists it as uncharacterized. The transcript is spliced from 2 exons. The record is from RefSeq and is a predicted model, not a curated record. Lineage: Eukaryota; Metazoa; Arthropoda; Insecta; Coleoptera; Tenebrionidae.
CGAAUAAUAAACUUGAAAGAUUACACACCAUUAGAAAUAAGUAAUCACGACUGCAAUUAUCCUCUUGUUAGAAUUCCUUCGCGCAUUAAACAUAAUUAAAAAUAAUCGUUCAAAAUGUCAAUAAUUUAAUAGGCCUGCACCAGGCACUUUGAAAUCUUCUUAAGAAAUAAAAAGUACUAAUUCCCCACUUUACAGGAUUCCAGACAACCUACUUCCAAUUCUGUGCAACAUUUUGAAAUUUUCGCCAAGUCGUCAUCUUUUUAUUCUAGUGAUUUCAUCUAAUUUAUGCGUCGCUGUGAAAGUGCAUUUUCCGCAACGGCUUGGUGGCACUUGUCCAAAAACUCCCGCCCUUGAACUUUCAACCCGUCCUUUAUGAAUGAAAAUUAUUCAGGAUUAGCCAGAAGCCUGUCAGAGAGUGAAAAAAGGCAUGCGGUGGAUUGGAGGGAAAAAAUCCCAUUGCGGUUCUAGCGAGUUUAUUCACCUCGCUAUUAUUUUUCUAAUAGAAAAGAACACCGUGAAUAAAGUUCGUAAUCGUUGAA